Molecule: ribosomal RNA, 480 nt
Filed under: Klebsiella pneumoniae subsp. rhinoscleromatis ATCC 13884
Lineage: Bacteria; Pseudomonadati; Pseudomonadota; Gammaproteobacteria; Enterobacterales; Enterobacteriaceae
Description: bacterial SSU rRNA
Rfam family: Bacterial small subunit ribosomal RNA
Source: RNAcentral
CGCACGCAGGCGGUCUGUCAAGUCGGAUGUGAAAUCCCCGGGCUCAACCUGGGAAAUGCAUUAGAAACUGGCAGGCUAGAGUCUUGUAGAGGGGGGUAGAAUUCCAGGUGUAGCGGUGAAAUGCGUAGAGCUCUGGAGGAAUACCGGUGGCGAAGGCGGCCCCCCGGACAAAGACUUACCCUCAGGUGCGAAAGCGUGGGGAGCAAACAGGAUUAGAUACCCUGGUAGUCCACGCCGUAAACGAUGUCGAUUUGGAGGUUGUGCCCUUGAGGCGUGGCUUCCGGAGCUAACGCGUUAAAUCGACCGCCUGGGGAGUACGGCCGCAAGGUUAAAACUCAAAUGAAUUGACGGGGGCCCGCACAAGCGGUGGAGCAUGUGGUUUAAUUCGAUGCAACGCGAAGAACCUUACCUGGUCUUGACUUCCACAGAACUUAGCAGAGAUGCUUUGGUGCCUUCGGGAACUGUGAGACAGGUGCUGCA